ACUCACUGUGGAGCGUAGGCCAUGCAGAGGCUCGCCAGGUAUCCGUUGGAGAAGGAGAACAGGGCCAUGAUGAUGACGAAGGCGCAGUCGUGACCGAAGAGGAUGGUGAAUCUGGAGUUCUCCACGUUACACGUCAUGAGCAGAGGGAUGAAAACGAGACGAGACAACACGGCGGCAGGAAACAGGACGCUCUCCUUGGAAGGCUGCACAGACAUCAGCGAUGAUUAAUCUGACAAAGCAAAACUGAAGAGGCAAAAUAAAUCGUCAGAGCAGGCAGCAGACUCACCCAUUGGACGAGAGACGGGGCGCUGCGGCCAACCAAGUCCAUGACGUUGAAGACGAUGAAGCAGCAAACGCAAGUGAACACUUUUUCUGUAAGAGACAGAGAGCAGGACUGACUUGAAACUCUUCCAAACUAUGAAGCCAAGUCAGACGUAGAAGAGUCGCAGACUUAACUACGACUCUGAUAUGGAUGUGAAUAUCCAUCACGCUUCAGAAACUACAGGAACACAGUAAAGAAUGUGAUGUCUCACUCCAGGCUGCGUUGUCCUGGUAGACGGUCUGCACUCGCACUGUGAUCACAGGAAAUACCGACAGGGUGACGGCAAACACACACGUCACACAUGCAGCCAUCAGCCAGAUCUGCGGGACACACAGGAAGCUCGCAUUUUCAACACGUGGGGGCGGCGCGCUGCACAGGAUGUGCUCACAUGCGCAGUAAUUAUAAUUCGAAUGAGGAAACAGAAAGAAGGAAUGUAAGGGACGACAUUUAGAAAUAGAUAAAAGAUAAAAAAGUUGCUCACCUUUUUGAAGACAGCCAGGACGGAGGAACGCUCCUGAUUCUCUCCUGCCUCGCUGAUGAACGUCACUUUGACCUCGAGCUCUUUAUCAUUGUUUUUUAGCACUUUUUUGUCUUUAAAAGGAAAGAAAUACAAAACGAAUUAGUGACUUGCUUCAUGAUAUGAUCACCCAAACUGACCUGGAGCCAGCUGCAGCAGUCUGCACGUUCAGACUUAGCCUCGUUCUGACCUAUGUGUUCAAUUAACGUAAGGCGGGUCGCCCUUCGUGAACUAGCUGGUCGACUUAGAGUGCUGCCUUUAUGAAGACCUUUGACUUAAGAACCGACCUGUGCUGCUGAGGAGCUCCUGUGACGUCUCCACUUUAUCAGACUGACUUCUGUUCAGGUGUGGCAGCAGCAGGUAACACAGCAGAGUCCCCAGUGUGGCCACGCAUGGAGUGAUGAAGUAUCCCAUCGCAGCCGAGCUUUUAUCUGCGUUACCUAGCAAAAGAGACACUUAAGCUUAUUCAUCUUCAUCAGCCAGGCCAGUGUUCUUAAACACAUUUGCAUAUAAAUUCUAUUAGAAAAACUUUCUAGCUGUAGUCAAUUGAUCGAUUAAUCUGCAAAUAAUUUGAUCAUUUCUUUGUGAAGUUCUUUCGUUUUUCACUAUUUUCCGACACUUUAUAGAUGAUUAAUUGUGAAUAUGAAUAGCAGAUUAAUUAAAGGUGAAAAUUGGGAUUAGUUGCAGUCUUAAAAAGAUGAAUUUGUAUUUUCUACCAGCAUAAAUAAUUAUCUGAGUUAUUGUUCCAGCUCUUCACUUCACCCAAGAGAUCAGUGUUCCACUGUUUAAAUACCAUAAACAACAAGCACAAAUGGAGAGGAGCAUCGCGACUGCAGCGAAGAUCCCGGCCAGACCCUGACCACUCAUGAACAGGGUGCUGUAACGAGGAGGAAACAGACCGACCACCCCGAACAGACUGCCUUGCAGCACUGCACUGCAGGCUGCGCACACACACGCACACACAGUCAUGUUUCCAUCAUUUUUAGGACAUUACAUAGACAUUCAUUUAAGUCACCAUAACCACCACUUGCCUAAACCUAACCCUUCCCCUAACCUCAGCUUACCCUAACUUUAAUCGAAGUCUUCACCCUAACCUAACAUUUAAUGAUUUACAUCAUGGGGUUUGCAUUUUGUCCCCAUACGGAAGGCGGGUCCCCACAAUGUGACUGUGUAAACAGAUAUAUGUCUGCAUAUAUACGCACACACACAGGCACACACA
Chelmon rostratus (copperband butterflyfish) is the source of this 2058-nucleotide long non-coding RNA. RefSeq lists it as uncharacterized. The transcript has 3 exons. The record is from RefSeq and is a predicted model, not a curated record. Lineage: Eukaryota; Metazoa; Chordata; Actinopteri; Chaetodontiformes; Chaetodontidae.